GGGACUAAGGUGUUAGCGGCAGCAUCCCCGGCUCUUAACCGGUGAGGUCAGGGUUCGAGCCCCUGUGGUCCUA
Molecule: transfer RNA, 73 nt
Filed under: Planctomycetales bacterium
Lineage: Bacteria; Pseudomonadati; Planctomycetota; Planctomycetia; Planctomycetales
Also listed under: 1 other name
Description: tRNA-Lys
Rfam family: tRNA
About the family: Transfer RNA (tRNA) molecules are approximately 80 nucleotides in length. Their secondary structure includes four short double-helical elements and three loops (D, anti-codon, and T loops).
Source: RNAcentral